GUAAGGCAUUGCCCUUUCUGAUAGUUCUGACGUUCAGUUGGAAAUCUCUGUUGGGAUCAGAAGAAAUCUCAACUGGGAAGAGAAGGGGACGCUAUGAUGGAAGACGUUGGACAGAAUCCACUGGAUGAUGUGUAAGUAUGGGAAUAAUAAAAGAGUUCAGUAGAGGAAGCUCCACGGGAAGAGUCUCCAGCAAUCCAGUAGCAGACGAUAUAAUUACCAGCAUUAGAAGCUGUAAAACAGAACCUUGACUGCCUGAAUUCAGACCUUGAAAAGGACCUGCAGAAACUGGAUAUGGAGAAUCAGGUUCUCCUUAGAAAGAUUAAAGAGAAAGAAGAAACUAUUUCAAGCCUGGAAAGAAAGCUGGCCUUGUCACUAGAAGAAGCCAAAGAGGAGGAGGAGUUGAACUAUGUCAUAGAUGAACAGGAGGAAUCCCUGAGGGAGCUGGAAUUAGAGACAGCAAAGCUGGAGAAAAGUAACGCAAUCCUAAGCAGGAAUGUGGUGGAGGUUCAGAAAAAGAUUUCAGGGUUAUUUACAAAUAUUGGCCUUGAAGAAGAAACCACAAAGCAGAUCCUGGAGGAAAUGAAGGCAAGACUACAGAAGUCAACAGAGUCCUGUGCAAAGCAAGAGGAGGAACUGGCCAAGGCAGAGGCAAUGUCUCUUCCACUGAGGGUCUGCCCGGGAUAGAAUGGGAGAGAAUCCCAAGGGUCUUAGAAACAGAUCUGCUUGAGGCAUAGGAGGGGGAGAAAUACCAGGAAGUUCUGAGGAAGAUGAAAGAGGAAAAGGAGACGCUGCUUCUUGAAAAACAAAUCUUUUCACACAGUUUGGAAAUUUGAAUGUCCUCUUUUGUGACAUGUCUUUCGCCUGCAUCUGUGAGAUG
Molecule: long non-coding RNA, 877 nt
Organism: Homo sapiens (human)
Lineage: Eukaryota; Metazoa; Chordata; Mammalia; Primates; Hominidae
Source: Ensembl